CGGGAGGCUCGAGCGCGGCACGAGCGCGGCCGGCGCGGGGAACUGUGGUUACCACGGAGAUCCUUGCCGGGAGCACGUUUUCAGGCGCCUGCCGUGGUUUGGUGGAGCCCCACAAACAAUAGUGAUGACUUGGGGGAACACCGAAACGCCGGGGACGGCCCCGCUCCCGCUCGCCGCACUAGCCCCUGCCCGCUGCCCUCUUUUGAGGGGACUAACCGGUGGCCUUAAUAGCAAACUGGAAAGCCGUUUUAUUUCAUAGGAACAUAUUACAACCAACAAGGAAAGGAGAUAAGGGAAUGCGCCUGUAGCUCCAGAUCAAAUCGCUGGCUCUCCCCUCUCCCCGGGUCACCAGGAUCCACACAGUCCUUGAAGAUGAGGAGCGCUGGAAGAUUGUGGCCUGGCCACCCCUUACGUCAUGAAAGUGAUUUGUACCACAUUGCUAAUUUGGUGCAAUUCAUAACCUUCUGAUCUCCUAUGUUUGCAACUGCUUUUCAGUUCGGAGGAUAUGUUUUUGGGGAUGUAGUUCCCGAGUGUAGGAAUUAAGACUGAUCACCUAUGUGCAGGAAAGGAUCUUAUUUCCCAAUGUUUGUUGCU
This 594-nucleotide long non-coding RNA is filed under the name Apteryx owenii (little spotted kiwi). Its description in RNAcentral is "lncRNA (ENSAOWG00000011952.1)". The record is from RNAcentral. Lineage: Eukaryota; Metazoa; Chordata; Aves; Apterygiformes; Apterygidae.